UGGGGAAUAUUGCACAAUGGGCGCAAGCCUGAUGCAGCCAUGCCGCGUGUAUGAAGAAGGCCUUCGGGUUGUAAAGUACUUUCAGCGAGGAGGAAGGCGGUAAGGUUAAUAACCUUAUCGAUUGACGUUACUCGCAGAAGAAGCACCGGCUAACUCCGUGCCAGCAGCCGCGGUAAUACGGAGGGUGCAAGCGUUAAUCGGAAUUACUGGGCGUAAAGCGCACGCAGGCGGUCUGUCAAGUCGGAUGUGAAAUCCCCGGGCUCAACCUGGGAACUGCAUUCGAAACUGGCAGGCUAGAGUCUUGUAGAGGGGGGUAGAAUUCCAGGUGUAGCGGUGAAAUGCGUAGAGAUCUGGAGGAAUACCGGUGGCGAAGGCGGCCCCCUGGACAAAGACUGACGCUCAGGUGCGAAAGCGUGGGGAGCAAACA
RNAcentral lists this ribosomal RNA (427 nucleotides) under uncultured bacterium. Its description in RNAcentral is "partial 16S ribosomal RNA". It matches the Rfam family "Bacterial small subunit ribosomal RNA", at positions 355 to 774 of the family's 1533-position model. The record is from RNAcentral.